Molecule: ribosomal RNA, 497 nt
Filed under: uncultured bacterium
Lineage: Bacteria
Description: partial 16S ribosomal RNA
Rfam family: Bacterial small subunit ribosomal RNA
Source: RNAcentral
GAUGAACGCUGGCGGCGUGCCUAAUACAUGCAAGUCGAGCGGACGGACGAGAAGCUUGCUUCUCGGAUGUUAGCGGCGGACGGGUGAGUAACACGUGGAUAACCUACCUAUAAGACUGGGAUAACUUCGGGAAACCGGAGCUAAUACCGGAUAAUAUUUUGAACCGCAUGGUUCAAAAGUGAAAGACGGUCUUGCUGUCACUUAUAGAUGGAUCCGCGCUGCAUUAGCUAGUUGGUAAGGUAACGGCUUACCAAGGCAACGAUGCAUAGCCGACCUGAGAGGGUGAUCGGCCACACUGGAACUGAGACACGGUCCAGACUCCUACGGGAGGCAGCAGUAGGGAAUCUUCCGCGAUGGGCGAAAGCCUGACGGAGCAACGCCGCGUGAGUGAUGAAGGUCUUCGGAUCGUAAAACUCUGUUAUUAGGGAAGAACAUUUGUGUAAGUAACUGUGCACAUCUUGACGGUACCUAAUCAGAAAGCCACGGCUAACUACGUG